UACGGAGGGGGCUAGCGUUGUUCGGAAUUACUGGGCGUAAAGCGCACGUAGGCGGCUUUGUAAGUUAGAGGUGAAAGCCCGGGGCUCAACCCCGGAAUUGCCUUUGAGACUGCAUCGCUAGAAUUGUGGAGAGGUAAGUGGAAUUCCGAGUGUAGAGGUGAAAUUCGUAGAUAUUCGGAAGAACACCAGUGGCGAAGGCGACUUACUGGACACAUAUUGACGCUGAGGAACGAAAGCCAGGGUAGCGAAAGGG
RNAcentral lists this ribosomal RNA (253 nucleotides) under uncultured bacterium. RNAcentral's name for it is "partial 16S ribosomal RNA". It matches the Rfam family "Bacterial small subunit ribosomal RNA", at positions 524 to 776 of the family's 1533-position model. The record is from RNAcentral.